CCCUUAGAUGUUCUGGGCCGCACGCGCGCUACACUGAUGCAUUCAACAAGCCUAGCCUUGACCGAGAGGUCCGGGUAAUCUUUGAAACUGCAUCGUGAUGGGGCUAGAUUAUUGCAAUUAUUAAUCUUCAACGAGGAAUGCCUAGUAAGCGUGAUUCAUCAAAUCGCGUUGAUUACGUCCCUGCCCUUUGUACACACCGCCCGUCGCUCCUACCGAUUGGAUGAUCCGGUGAGCUAUUCGGACUUUCGCAUUGUCGAUUUUCGGCUUUACGAGGGAAAGUCUCGCGAACCUUAUCAUCUAGAGGAAGGAGAAGUCGUAACA
This 321-nucleotide ribosomal RNA is filed under the name uncultured eukaryote. RNAcentral's name for it is "partial 18S ribosomal RNA". It matches the Rfam family "Eukaryotic small subunit ribosomal RNA", at positions 1470 to 1796 of the family's 1831-position model. The record is from RNAcentral.